RNAcentral lists this transfer RNA (46 nucleotides) under Bos taurus (domestic cattle). Its description in RNAcentral is "partial tRNA-Tyr". It matches the Rfam family "tRNA", at positions 1 to 49 of the family's 71-position model. Rfam says of the family: Transfer RNA (tRNA) molecules are approximately 80 nucleotides in length. Their secondary structure includes four short double-helical elements and three loops (D, anti-codon, and T loops). Further hydrogen bonds mediate the characteristic L-shaped molecular structure. tRNAs have two regions of fundamental functional importance: the anti-codon, which is responsible for specific mRNA codon recognition, and the 3' end, to which the tRNAs corresponding amino acid is attached (by aminoacyl-tRNA synthetases). tRNAs cope with the degeneracy of the genetic code in two manners: having more than one tRNA (with a specific anti-codon) for a particular amino acid; and 'wobble' base-pairing, i.e. permitting non-standard base-pairing at the 3rd anti-codon position. Lineage: Eukaryota; Metazoa; Chordata; Mammalia; Artiodactyla; Bovidae. The record is from RNAcentral.
GGUAAAAUGGCUGAGCAAAGCAUUAGACUGUAAAUCUAAAGAUAGA